Molecule: long non-coding RNA, 377 nt
Organism: Mugil cephalus (flathead mullet)
Lineage: Eukaryota; Metazoa; Chordata; Actinopteri; Mugiliformes; Mugilidae
Exons: 3
Source: RefSeq, a predicted model, not a curated record
CCCAGAUAUAUUUCUCCCCCAUGCCUUAUCAGCACAUGGUACAGCCUGAUCGGUAAUCUCGACCCUCUGCUUCCUGAUUUGCUCACGAGGAAGGAAACCAUUACCAGUUGAAAAUUAAAGGACGGCAUCAAUCAAAGUCUGGCUCUGCUGAAGUGAAGAGAAAUGAGAGGCGAUGAGUACGAGUGGAAAGGAAGAGCAGCACGGCUCCACCUGUCACAGUGUAGAAACGGCACAGCAUUACCUCCCACCAGGCUCUGGGGAGAAGGACUUACAGCAGAUGGAUGGUCUGAUACAGGAGGGAUCUGGUUCAUCGGAUGGGUUUCUAUAUGCGGGCUGAGAAUAUAGGUCAGUAACACAUUUACACUCUUUUAUAAUGU